GCUCUUAUGGUCUAGUGGUAUGACGUGUCCUUCACACGGAUAAGGUCCCCAGUUCGAUCCUGGGUGGGAGCA
Polychytrium aggregatum is the source of this 72-nucleotide non-coding RNA. Lineage: Eukaryota; Fungi; Chytridiomycota; Chytridiomycetes; Polychytriales. The record is from the annotation of a RefSeq genome assembly.